CUGCGGCGCCUUUCGGGGCGCCGCAGUACAACCAGGACCGACGCUCACAAAGCCGAAGUCCUUAUUUGAAAUGAUAUAGAUGACCAGCAGGGGCAACCGGGCUGGUGCCCGGACUAUCUGCGGGAUCCUGAGUGGCUUUCAUCCUGGUCGCCGUACCCGGAGUUGAGGCUGCGAUGCCGAUUCCACGCCGGUGGUGUCCCCUUACCGAGGGUGACCA
Molecule: regulatory RNA element, 217 nt
Organism: Pseudomonas sp. FeS53a
Lineage: Bacteria; Pseudomonadati; Pseudomonadota; Gammaproteobacteria; Pseudomonadales; Pseudomonadaceae
Rfam family: sucA-II RNA
Source: Rfam